UACAUGCAGUCGAACGCACAGCGAAAGGUGCUUGCACCUUUCAAGUGAGUGGCGAACGGGUGAGUAACACGUGGACAACCUGCCUCAAGGCUGGGGAUAACAUUUGGAAACAGAUGCUAAUACCGAAUAAAACUUAGUAUCGCAUGAUACCAGGUUAAAAGGCGCUACGGCGUCACCUAGAGAUGGAUCCGCGGUGCAUUAGUUAGUUGGUGGGGUAAAGGCCUACCAAGACAAUGAUGCAUAGCCGAGUUGAGAGACUGAUCGGCCACAUUGGGACUGAGACACGGCCCAAACUCCUACGGGAGGCUGCAGUAGGGAAUCUUCCACAAUGGGCGAAAGCCUGAUGGAGCAACGCCGCGUGUGUGAUGAAGGCUUUCGGGUCGUAAAGCACUGUUGUAUGGGAAGAAAAGUUAAGGUAGGGAAUGACCUUAGCCUGACGGUACCAUACCAGAAAGGGACGGCUAAAUACGUGCCAGCAGCCGCGGUAAUACGUAUGUCCCGAGCGUUAUCCGGAUUUAUUGGGCGUAAAGCGAGCGCAGACGGUUGGUUAAGUCUGAUGUGAAAGCCCGGAGCUCAACUCCGGAAAGGCAUUGGAAACUGGUUAACUUGAGUGCAGUAGAGGUAAGUGGAACUCCAUGUGUAGCGGUGGAAUGCGUAGAUAUAUGGAAGAACACCAGCGGCGAAGGCGGCUUACUGGACUGUAACUGACGUUGAGGCUCGAAAGUGUGGGUAGCAAACAGGAUUAGAUACCCUGGUAGUCCACACCGUAAACGAUGAACACUAGGUGUUAGGAGGUUUCCGCCUCUUAGUGCCG
RNAcentral lists this ribosomal RNA (814 nucleotides) under Leuconostoc carnosum. RNAcentral's name for it is "bacterial SSU rRNA". It matches the Rfam family "Bacterial small subunit ribosomal RNA", at positions 52 to 848 of the family's 1533-position model. Lineage: Bacteria; Bacillati; Bacillota; Bacilli; Lactobacillales; Lactobacillaceae. The record is from RNAcentral.